Long non-coding RNA from Peromyscus leucopus (white-footed mouse), 175 nucleotides. RefSeq lists it as uncharacterized. The transcript has 3 exons. Lineage: Eukaryota; Metazoa; Chordata; Mammalia; Rodentia; Cricetidae. The record is from RefSeq and is a predicted model, not a curated record.
CAGGUGCCGUGAUUCUGCUCCAAGUUCCAAGCAGAGGAAGGCGGGCAAGCGGGAGCCAUGCAGUCAGAAUCUGGGAUCGUGGCGGAUUUCGAAGUCGGGGAGGAUUUCACGAAGAACCCAAAACCUAUUACGAACUCAAAAGUCAACCUCUGAAGAGCAGCAGUUCUGCAGUGCA